This 256-nucleotide ribosomal RNA is filed under the name uncultured bacterium. Its description in RNAcentral is "partial 16S ribosomal RNA". It matches the Rfam family "Bacterial small subunit ribosomal RNA", at positions 466 to 721 of the family's 1533-position model. The record is from RNAcentral.
AUAAUGACGGUACCCGCAGAAUAAGCCCCGGCUAACUUCGUGCCAGCAGCCGCGGUAAUACGAAGGGGGCUAGCGUUGUUCGGAAUUACUGGGCGUAAAGCGCACGUAGGCGGAUUGCUAAGUCAGGGGUGAAAUCCCGGGGCUCAACCUCGGAACUGCCUUUGAUACUGACAGUCUUGAGUCCGGAAGAGGUGAGUGGAAUUCCUAGUGUAGAGGUGAACUUCGUGUAUAUUAGGAAGAACACCAGUGGCGAAGG